AACAAAGGGUCAAAAGAGGAGCUGCAGCAGUGUGCAGUACAACAAAUAUAUGGUGUUUUCUGAAAAAUUAAACAUAAGCCUAUUCUGGUUCAACCUCGAAGUACAAUUAUGAACCUGAAAAUGAGCACAAUAUGAGCACUUUAAAGGUC
Long non-coding RNA from Etheostoma spectabile (orangethroat darter), 149 nucleotides. RefSeq lists it as uncharacterized. The record is from RefSeq and is a predicted model, not a curated record. Lineage: Eukaryota; Metazoa; Chordata; Actinopteri; Perciformes; Percidae. The transcript has 3 exons.